RNAcentral lists this ribosomal RNA (497 nucleotides) under uncultured Pseudomonadota bacterium. RNAcentral describes it as "bacterial SSU rRNA". It matches the Rfam family "Bacterial small subunit ribosomal RNA", at positions 382 to 896 of the family's 1533-position model. The record is from RNAcentral. Lineage: Bacteria; Pseudomonadati; Pseudomonadota.
CCUGAUCCAGCAAUGCCGCGUGAGUGAUGAAGGCCUUCGGGUUGUAAAGCUCUUUCGCACGCGACGAUGAUGACGGUAGCGUGAGAAGAAGCCCCGGCUAACUUCGUGCCAGCAGCCGCGGUAAUACGAAGGGGGCUAGCGUUGUUCGGAAUUACUGGGCGUAAAGGGCGCGUAGGCGGUGUGUCAAGUCAGGCGUGAAAGCCCCGGGCUCAACCUGGGAACCGCGCUUGAGACUGGCACGCUCGAGUUCGGGAGAGGAUGGUGGAAUUCCCAGUGUAGAGGUGAAAUUCGUAGAUAUUGGGAAGAACACCGAUGGCGAAGGCAGCCAUCUGGACCGACACUGACGCUGAGGCGCGAAAGCGUGGGGAGCAAACAGGAUUAGAUACCCUGGUAGUCCACGCCGUAAACGAUGAGUGCUAGACGUCGGGGCCCUUAGGGCUUCGGUGUCGCAGCUAACGCAUUAAGCACUCCGCCUGGGGAGUACGGCCGCAAGGUUA